RNAcentral lists this unclassified non-coding RNA (411 nucleotides) under Senecio nemorensis. RNAcentral describes it as "partial contains external transcribed spacer and 18S ribosomal RNA". The stretch from base 358 to 411 matches the Rfam family "Eukaryotic small subunit ribosomal RNA", at positions 1 to 54 of the family's 1831-position model. The record is from RNAcentral. Lineage: Eukaryota; Viridiplantae; Streptophyta; Magnoliopsida; Asterales; Asteraceae.
UGGCAUACCUCUUCAUUUAUGCGUCAUGACUUGUAUCGUCUUGAGCGUAUUGUGGGUUUCCUGUGUUGCAUACCUAACUAAUGGUAUCGUUUUGAUUGAUCGAAGUCCCUUUUCAUCCUGUGUUGCCUUUGUGACGCAUGAUGAACCUYGAAGCGGUCUCUAUGUUCCUCCACGUUGAUGCUAGUGUUUCGAUGUUGUGGCCCAUUGAGCGUUGCUUGGUUUCAUGGAUACAGAACAUGAUUUGGGCAUAGGGUCACUCAUGACUCUUGUUCUGUCCUUUAUCAGUGUUCUUUAUAACGACGGUUCAUGUGCGCCUAGGCUCGUACCUGCGCGAUGUUCUUUGUCGAAGAGGAAUGCUACCUGGUUGAUCCUGCCAGUAGUCAUAUGCUUGUCUCAAAGAUUAAGCCAUGC